GCAACCCUGGUCCUUAGUUGCCAGCAUUCAGUUGGUGCACUCUAAGGUAGACUGCCCGUGACAAACCGGAAGAAGGUGGGGACGACGUCAAGUCAUCAUGGCCCUUACGUGUAGGGCUACACACGUGCUACAAUGGCAUUUACAGAGGGAAGCGAGACAGUGAUGUGGAGCGGACCCCUUAAAGAAUGUCGUAGUCCGGAUUGGAGUCUGCAACUCGACUCCAUGAAGUCGGAAUCGCUAGUAAUCGCAGGUCAGAAUACUGCGGGGAAUACGUUCCCGGGCCUUGUACACACCGCCCGUCACACCAUGGGAGUGGGAUGCAAAAGAAGUAGUUAGUCUAACCUUCGGGAGGACGAUUACCACUUUGUGUUUCAUGACUGGGGUGAAGUCGUAACAAGGUAACCCUAGGGGAACCUGGGGUUGGAUCACCUCCUU
RNAcentral lists this ribosomal RNA (435 nucleotides) under Alteromonas macleodii. RNAcentral describes it as "bacterial SSU rRNA". It matches the Rfam family "Bacterial small subunit ribosomal RNA", at positions 1098 to 1532 of the family's 1533-position model. The record is from RNAcentral. Lineage: Bacteria; Pseudomonadati; Pseudomonadota; Gammaproteobacteria; Alteromonadales; Alteromonadaceae.